CGUGUAGCAGUGAAAUGCGUAGAGAUGCGGAGGAACACCGAUGGCGAAGGCAGCCCCCUGGGCCAACACUGACGCUCAGGCACGAAAGCGUGGGGAGCAAACAGGAUUAGAUACCCUGGUAGUCCACGCCCUAAACGAUGUCAACUGGGUGUUGGGGAAGCGAUUCCUUGGUACCGUAGCUAACGCGUGAAGUUGACCGCCUGGGGAGUACGGCCGCAAGGUUAAAACUCAAAGGAAUUGACGGGGACCCGCACAAGCGGUGGAUGAUGUGGAUUAAUUCGAUGCAACGCGAACAACCUUACCUACCCUUGACAUGU
Molecule: ribosomal RNA, 317 nt
Filed under: uncultured beta proteobacterium
Lineage: Bacteria; Pseudomonadati; Pseudomonadota; Betaproteobacteria
Description: bacterial SSU rRNA
Rfam family: Bacterial small subunit ribosomal RNA
Source: RNAcentral